GGAUGAACGCUAGCGGCAGGCCUAACACAUGCAAGUCGAGGGGUAAGGAGAGCUUGCUCUCCCUAGACCGGCGCACGGGUGCGUAACACGUGUACAAUCUACCUUUUGCUAAGGGAUAGCCCGAAGAAAUUUGGAUUAAUACCUUAUAGUAUUGUUUGGUGGCAUCACUGAAUAAUUAAAGCUCUGGUGGCAAAAGAUGAGUACGCGUCCCAUUAGCUAGUUGGUGUGGUAACGGCAUACCAAGGCUACGAUGGGUAGGGGUCCUGAGAGGGAGGUCCCCCACACUGGUACUGAGACACGGACCAGACUCCUACGGGAGGCAGCAGUGAGGAAUAUUGGACAAUGGUCGGAAGACUGAUCCAGCCAUGCCGCGUGCAGGAUGACGGCCUUAUGGGUUGUAAACUGCUUUUAUACAGGAAGAAUAAGGUCUACGCGUAGAUUGAUGACGGUACUGUAUGAAUAAGCAUCGGCUAACUCCGU
Molecule: ribosomal RNA, 480 nt
Filed under: Capnocytophaga sp. 'ARUP UnID 180'
Lineage: Bacteria; Pseudomonadati; Bacteroidota; Flavobacteriia; Flavobacteriales; Flavobacteriaceae
Description: bacterial SSU rRNA
Rfam family: Bacterial small subunit ribosomal RNA
Source: RNAcentral